AGCGUUACCUCAGCCUCUCGAGAGGCUGUGCGCCUCGACACUCCCUCCAAGGGAUUCAGGCCAGCUCCACCAGCUCACAUGACUCCAAUCCCAGCAACUUCCAUGAACCCUCGACGAGCGCGCUCAACAUUUUCCUCGGGUAACCCAAAGGACUGCCUGACUUUCUAGAGGGAUUGCAACAUCACAACAACCCAUCGAAUAAACCCAAGGAGUUAAAAAUUAAGGGUUUGGCUGGACCCAAACUGAACCCUCUCCCUCUCCCAGUCUCUUAUUCACUCUAGAGGCUCUUAGUCGGCCUCGGUGCGCCUGAAGGACCUCGUCCUCCCGAGACGCCCGGGGACAUGGAAAAGCCGAGAACCUAGCCGCUAACCCCACGGGCACGCGGGAACUCAGCAGAGGAAGAGACAGCGGCGGCUCAUCGCGUGGGCCUCGGCGGAGGCGGCGGGCUCUGGCCAGACCCGGAGCGGGCAGUGUUCAGG
This 479-nucleotide long non-coding RNA is filed under the name Mus musculus (house mouse). Its description in RNAcentral is "predicted gene, 57420". The record is from RNAcentral. Lineage: Eukaryota; Metazoa; Chordata; Mammalia; Rodentia; Muridae.